Molecule: ribosomal RNA, 376 nt
Filed under: uncultured bacterium
Lineage: Bacteria
Description: bacterial SSU rRNA
Rfam family: Bacterial small subunit ribosomal RNA
Source: RNAcentral
UACGUAGGGGGCGAGCGUUGUCCGGAAUUACUGGGCGUAAAGGGCGUGUAGGCGGUUAAUUAAGUCAGGUGUGAAAACGUAGGGCUUAACCUUACGAUUGCAUCUGAAACUGGUUAACUUGAGGGUAGGAGAGGAAAGUGGAAUUCCUAGUGUAGCGGUGAAAUGCGUAGAUAUUAGGAGGAACACCAGUGGCGAAGGCGACUUUCUGGCCUAACCCUGACGCUGAGGCGCGAAAGCGUGGGUAGCAAACAGGAUUAGAUACCCUGGUAGUCCACGCCGUAAACGAUGGGUACUAGGUGUAGGAGGUAUCGACCCCUUCUGUGCCGUAGCAAACGCAAUAAAUACCCCGCCUGGGGAGUACGUACGCAAGUAUGAA